UUCCGGUUGAUCCCGCCGGAGGCUACCGCUAUUGGAGUUCGAUUAAGCCAUGCGAGUCGAGAGUCUUAGGGACUCGGCGUACCGCUCAGUAACACGUGGGUAACCUGCCCUAUGCUGGGGAAUAACCUCGGGAAACUGAGAAUAAUACCCCAUAGUUCACCACGCCUGGAACGGUGGGUGGAUGAAAGCUCCGGCGGCAUAGGAUGGGCCUGCGGCGUAUCAGGUUGUAGGGGGUGUAAUGUACCCUCUAGCCAUCUACGCGUACGGGUGUUGGGAGACAUCGCCCGGAGAUGGAUUCUGAGACACGAAUCCAGACCCUACGGGGUGCAGCAGGCGCGAAAACUUGGCAAUGCGAGCAAUCGUGACCAGGGAACUCCAAGUGCAUCGGGUAAGACCGAUGCUUUUCUUGACUCUUCAAAGGUCUUGGAAUAAGGGGUGGGUAAGGACGGUGCCAGCCGCCGCGGUAAUACCGGCGCCUCAAGUGGUAGUCGCUUUUAUUGGGCCUAAAACGUCCGUAGCCGGUUUGGUACAUUCGUGGGUAAAUCAAGGCGCUCAACGUCUUGAAUUCUGCGAGCACGGCCAGACUUGGGACCGGGUGAGGUGUGGGGUACUCUCAGGGUAGGGGUAAAAUCCUGUCAUCCUGAGAGGACCACCUGUUGCGAAGGCGCCACACUAGAACGGAUCCGACGGUCAGGGACGAAGCCUAGGGGCACGAACCGGAUUAGAUACCCGGGUAGUCCUAGGUGUAAACGCUGUGGACUUGAUGUUGGGAGUGCUCCGAGCACCCUCAGUGUCGAAGCGAAGGUGAUAAGUCCACUGCCUGGGGAGUACGGUCGCAAGGCUGAAACUUAAAGGAAUUGGCGGGGGAGCACUGCAACCUGAGGAUUGUGCGGUUUAAUUGGAUUCAACGCCGG
This 914-nucleotide ribosomal RNA is filed under the name uncultured marine archaeon. Its description in RNAcentral is "bacterial SSU rRNA". It matches the Rfam family "Archaeal small subunit ribosomal RNA", at positions 1 to 921 of the family's 1478-position model. The record is from RNAcentral.